GUCGGGAUCUGAAUGAGUAUAUUUUAUUUUCAUUUCCCCUGUCGACUGUCGUAAAGUUCCUAGUAAUGCAAUAUAAAAUUCUACUGAAUCAGAUAUAAUUUUAUUUCGUCAUGCACAUGGAAUUUCACUCAUAUGAAUUAAUAUCAAUAUCGUCCGAUUUUCACAUCAAACGAGCAUAUCAUGACUUGAAACUUGCGUGAACAGGUUCCAUGUGAAUCUUAUGAUAAUAGUUCAUGCAUAAAUCACCGGAAUUUUGUACACGUUAAAUUCACGUAAAUAUUUGAAAUAAAAUUAUUU
RNAcentral lists this long non-coding RNA (297 nucleotides) under Mytilus galloprovincialis (Mediterranean mussel). The record is from RNAcentral. Lineage: Eukaryota; Metazoa; Mollusca; Bivalvia; Mytilida; Mytilidae.